This 75-nucleotide transfer RNA is filed under the name Brucella cytisi. RNAcentral describes it as "Ochrobactrum cytisi tRNA-Ala". It matches the Rfam family "tRNA". From Rfam's summary of the family: Transfer RNA (tRNA) molecules are approximately 80 nucleotides in length. The record is from RNAcentral. Lineage: Bacteria; Pseudomonadati; Pseudomonadota; Alphaproteobacteria; Hyphomicrobiales; Brucellaceae.
GGGGCUGUAGCUCAGCUGGGAGAGCACCUGCUUUGCAAGCAGGGGUCGUCGGUUCGAUCCCGUCCAGCUCCACCA